GUGGGGAAUAUUGGGCAAUGGGCGCAAGCCUGAUCCAGCCAUGCCGCGUGAGUGAUGAAGGCCCUAGGGUUGUAAAGCUCUUUCACCGGAGAAGAUAAUGACGGUAUCCGGAGAAGAAGCCCCGGCUAACUUCGUGCCAGCAGCCGCGGUAAUACGAAGGGGGCUAGCGUUGUUCGGAAUUACUGGGCGUAAAGCGCACGUAGGCGGACAUUUAAGUCAGGGGUGAAAUCCCGGGGCUCAACCCCGGAACUGCCUUUGAUACUGGGUGUCUGGAGUAUGGAAGAGGUAAGUGGAAUUCCGAGUGUAGAGGUGAAAUUCGUAGAUAUUCGGAGGAACACCAGUGGCGAAGGCGGCUUACUGGUCCAUUACUGACGCUGAGGUGCGAAAGCGUGGGGAGCAAACAGGAUUAGAUACCCCAGUAGUCC
Molecule: ribosomal RNA, 425 nt
Filed under: uncultured bacterium
Lineage: Bacteria
Description: partial 16S ribosomal RNA
Rfam family: Bacterial small subunit ribosomal RNA
Source: RNAcentral